ACAGCAGCAGCCGCGGUAAUACAGAGGGUGCGAGCGUUAAUCGGAUUUACUGGGCGUAAAGCGUGCGUAGGCGGCUUCUUAAGUCGGAUGUGAAAUCCCUGAGCUUAACUUAGGAAUUGCAUUCGAUACUGGGAAGCUAGAGUAUGGGAGAGGAUGGUAGAAUUCCAGGUGUAGCGGUGAAAUGCGUAGAGAUCGGAAGGAACAUCUGUGGCGAAGGCGACUAUCUGGGCCAACACUGACACUGAGGCACGAAAGCGUGGGGAGCAAACAGGAUUAGAUACCCGCGUAGUCCCUGUCUCUUAUAC
Molecule: ribosomal RNA, 305 nt
Filed under: uncultured bacterium
Lineage: Bacteria
Description: partial 16S ribosomal RNA
Rfam family: Bacterial small subunit ribosomal RNA
Source: RNAcentral